ACUUGGUGUUACUGCGAAGGGGGGACGGAGAAGGCUAUGUUGGCCGGGCGACGGUUGUCCCGGUUUAAGCGUGUAGGCUGGUUUUCCAGGCAAAUCCGGAAAAUCAAGGCUGAGGCGUGAUGACGAGGCACUACGGUGCUGAAGCAACAAAUGCCCUGCUUCCAGGAAAAGCCUCUAAGCAUCAGGUAACAUCAAAUCGUACCCCAAACCGACACAGGUGGUCAGGUAGAGAAUACCAAGGCGCUUGAGAGAACUCGGGUGAAGGAACUAGGCAAAAUGGUGCCGUAACUUCGGGAGAAGGCACGCUGAUAUGUAGGUGAAGUCCCUCGCGGAUGGAGCUGAAAUCAGUCGAAGAUACCAGCUGGCUGCAACUGUUUAUUAAAAACACAGCACUGUGCAAACACGAAAGUGGACGUAUACGGUGUGACGCCUGCCCGGUGCCGGAAGGUUAAUUGAUGGGGUUAGCCGCAAGGCGAAGCUCUUGAUCGAAGCCCCGGUAAACGGCGGCCGUAACUAUAACGGUCCUAAGGUAGCGAAAUUCCUUGUCGGGUAAGUUCCGACCUGCACGAAUGGCGUAAUGAUGGCCAGGCUGUCUCCACCCGAGACUCAGUGAAAUUGAACUCGCUGUGAAGAUGCAGUGUACCCGCGGCAAGACGGAAAGACCCCGUGAACCUUUACUAUAGCUUGACACUGAACAUUGAGCCUUGAUGUGUAGGAUAGGUGGGAGGCUUUGAAGUGUGGACGCCAGUCUGCAUGGAGCCGACCUUGAAAUACCACCCUUUAAUGUUUGAUGUUCUAACGUUGACCCGUAAUCCGGGUUGCGGACAGUGUCUGGUGGGUAGUUUGACUGGGGCGGUCUCCUCCUAAAGAGUAACGGAGGAGCACGAAGGUUGGCUAAUCCUGGUCGGACAUCAGGAGGUUAGUGCAAUGGCAUAAGCCAGCUUGACUGCGAGCGUGACGGCGCGAGCAGGUGCGAAAGCAGGUCAUAGUGAUCCGGUGGUUCUGAAUGGAAGGGCCAUCGCUCAACGGAUAAAAGGUACUCCGGGGAUAACAGGCUGAUACCGCCCAAGAGUUCAUAUCGACGGCGGUGUUUGGCACCUCGAUGUCGGCUCAUCACAUCCUGGGGCUGAAGUAGGUCCCAAGGGUAUGGCUGUUCGCCAUUUAAAGUGGUACGCGAGCUGGGUUUAGAACGUCGUGAGACAGUUCGGUCCCUAUCUGCCGUGGGCGCUGGAGAACUGAGGGGGGCUGCUCCUAGUACGAGAGGACCGGAGUGGACGCAUCACUGGUGUUCGGGUUGUCAUGCCAAUGGCACUGCCCGGUAGCUAAAUGCGGAAGAGAUAAGUGCUGAAAGCAUCUAAGCACGAAACUUGCC
Molecule: ribosomal RNA, 1372 nt
Filed under: Escherichia coli
Lineage: Bacteria; Pseudomonadati; Pseudomonadota; Gammaproteobacteria; Enterobacterales; Enterobacteriaceae
Description: partial 23S ribosomal RNA
Rfam family: Bacterial large subunit ribosomal RNA
Source: RNAcentral